RNAcentral lists this small nuclear RNA (104 nucleotides) under Tupaia belangeri (northern tree shrew). The record is from RNAcentral. Lineage: Eukaryota; Metazoa; Chordata; Mammalia; Scandentia; Tupaiidae.
GUGCUCCCUUUGGCAGCACAUAUACUAAAAUUGGAACGAUACAGAGAUUAGCAUGGCCCCUGCUCAAGGAAUACAUCCAAAUUUGUGAAGCGUCCCAUAGUUUU